Molecule: small nuclear RNA, 195 nt
Filed under: Oryzias javanicus (javanese ricefish)
Lineage: Eukaryota; Metazoa; Chordata; Actinopteri; Beloniformes; Adrianichthyidae
Description: U2 spliceosomal RNA (ENSOJAG00000023453.1)
Rfam family: U2 spliceosomal RNA
About the family: U2 is a small nuclear RNA (snRNA) component of the spliceosome (involved in pre-mRNA splicing).
Source: Rfam by way of RNAcentral
UUUCCUUCUUUAGACAUUUAGUUAAGAUCAAUUGUAGUAUAUGUUCUUACCAGUUUAAUAUCUGAUGUAUCCUCUACCUGGGUCCAAAUAUUGAAUACAUUUUUGGAAUGGGGAUAUGGAAUAGGGGCUUGCUCUGUUCACUCCAAGCAUCGACCUGGUGUUGUAGGCAGUAUCUCCAGGAACAGUGCACCUCAU